UACGUAGGUGGCGAGCGUUAAUCGGAUUUACUGGGCGUAAAGCGUGCGCAGGCGGCCCGUUAAGACAGGUGUGAAAUCCCUGGGCUCAACCUAGGAAUUGCGCUUGUGACUGGCGGGCUCGAGUACGGUAGAGGGGGGUGGAAUUCCUGGUGUAGCAGUGAAAUGCGUAGAGAUCAGGAGGAACACCGAUGGCGAAGGCAGCCCCCUGGGCCUGUACUGACGCUCAUGCACGAAAGCGUGGGGAGCAAACAGG
This 253-nucleotide ribosomal RNA is filed under the name uncultured microorganism. Its description in RNAcentral is "partial 16S ribosomal RNA". It matches the Rfam family "Bacterial small subunit ribosomal RNA", at positions 524 to 776 of the family's 1533-position model. The record is from RNAcentral.